AUGACUUUAACUUUUUAGGCAAAACAUCAAAGAACAAUCAAGACAUUUCAAAUUUGAAGAGAAAGAAUAGUGAUACCUCAAAUCCUAACAGUGUGAAAAAUAAACAAACAAAGAAACCUAGAAUAGAUGUAAUUUCCAAUCAUGGCACAAAUCUUAUUGAAAAAAAUUGUGAAGAUUUGUUGAAGUUUACAGAAGAAGAAUUUGAGAAAAUAUUAAUCAAUACACAAAAUAUGGAUAAAGAAAUUAAAGACUUCAUUAUCAGAGGUGGACAUACAAAAUCUUUACCAAAAAUUGGAAACCCAGUUUCAGCUGUGGAAGAUUAUAGAGAUAAAACAAGAAAGUUGACUGAAGAACAACGUACAAUAUUGGCUACAUUUACAUAUGCAACUCGUACAAAGAAAUAAGUUAUAGAACACCUGAUGUAGCUAGCUUUAUACACAAUAUAAUAACAUUUGUUCUGGAAUUCAAUGAAACUGAUAUUGCAGAAGAGAGAAUACAUCUUGAAGUAGAUACAGAGAACAUAAUAAAAACAUGUUCAUCUGAUGAUGGUACAGAAAACUUAGAACCUAUUGUACCCAGUGACAUAAAGUAUCCACCAAAGUUAUCCAGGAAAGGACGACCAAAAGGCAGUGAGAAAACUGUUAUUGGUAUAACAAAGAAAUCAAA
Mytilus californianus (California mussel) is the source of this 666-nucleotide long non-coding RNA. RefSeq lists it as uncharacterized. Lineage: Eukaryota; Metazoa; Mollusca; Bivalvia; Mytilida; Mytilidae. The transcript has 3 exons. The record is from RefSeq and is a predicted model, not a curated record.